RNAcentral lists this long non-coding RNA (110 nucleotides) under Pan troglodytes (chimpanzee). RNAcentral describes it as "lncRNA (ENSPTRG00000053181.1)". Lineage: Eukaryota; Metazoa; Chordata; Mammalia; Primates; Hominidae. The record is from RNAcentral.
GCUGUGUCUUUUUGAGGCAGGCUAUGUUCCCUGGAGGCUUCUGAGAUAACCAGACAUUUACAAGGCUCCUACCAGGACAUCAAAAUAAUAUCUACGCCUCUCAGACUGAC